AAUUUUGUAGUUUAAUAAGAAUAAUAAAUUGCAAAUUUAUUGGUAAUUUAAUAUUCAAAAUUU
RNAcentral lists this transfer RNA (63 nucleotides) under Hemicaecilius mockfordi. RNAcentral's name for it is "tRNA-Cys". Lineage: Eukaryota; Metazoa; Arthropoda; Insecta; Psocodea; Sphaeropsocidae. The record is from RNAcentral.